UACGAAGGGGGCUAGCGUUGCUCGGAAUUACUGGGCGUAAAGGGCGCGUAGGCGGCACUGUUAGUCAGGCGUGAAAGUCCUGGGCUCAACCUGGGAACUGCGCUUGAUACGGCAGAGCUAGAGGAUGGAAGAGGGUCGCGGAAUUCCCAGUGUAGAGGUGAAAUUCGUAGAUAUUAGGAAGAACACCAGUGGCGAAGGCGGCUCACUGGUCCGGUACUGACGCUGAGGUGCGAAAGCGUGGGGAGCAAACAGG
This 253-nucleotide ribosomal RNA is filed under the name uncultured bacterium. Its description in RNAcentral is "partial 16S ribosomal RNA". It matches the Rfam family "Bacterial small subunit ribosomal RNA", at positions 524 to 776 of the family's 1533-position model. The record is from RNAcentral.